This 88-nucleotide transfer RNA is filed under the name Alosa alosa (allis shad). RNAcentral describes it as "tRNA-OTHER". The record is from RNAcentral. Lineage: Eukaryota; Metazoa; Chordata; Actinopteri; Clupeiformes; Clupeidae.
GCUGUGAUGGCCGAGAGGUUAAGCAGUCUGGACUUGAAAUCCAAAUGGGGCUUCCCCGCACAAGAGGUUGAAACCCCUGCUCACAGCG